UGGCUCGAGGACGACGCUGGCGGCGUGCUUAACACAUGCAAGUCGAACGGAAAGGCCCUGCUUUGUGGGGUGCUCGAGUGGCGAACGGGUGAGUAACACGUGAGUAACCUGCCCUUGACUUUGGGAUAACUUCAGGAAACUGGGGCUAAUACCGGAUAGGAGCUCCUGCUGCAUGGUGGGGGUUGGAAAGUUUCGGCGGUUGGGGAUGGACUCGCGGCUUAUCAGCUUGUUGGUGGGGUAGUGGCUUACCAAGGCUUUGACGGGUAGCCGGCCUGAGAGGGUGACCGGCCACAUUGGGACUGAGAUACGGCCCAGACUCCUACGGGAGGCAGCAGUGGGGAAUAUUGCACAAUGGGCGGAAGCCUGAUGCAGCAACGCCGCGUGCGGGAUGACGGCCUUCGGGUUGUAAACCGCUUUCGCCUGUGACGAAGCGUGAGUGACGGUAAUGGGUAAAGAAGCACCGGCUAACUACGUG
This 475-nucleotide ribosomal RNA is filed under the name uncultured bacterium. RNAcentral describes it as "bacterial SSU rRNA". It matches the Rfam family "Bacterial small subunit ribosomal RNA", at positions 20 to 507 of the family's 1533-position model. The record is from RNAcentral.